Molecule: ribosomal RNA, 288 nt
Filed under: uncultured bacterium
Lineage: Bacteria
Description: partial 16S ribosomal RNA
Rfam family: Bacterial small subunit ribosomal RNA
Source: RNAcentral
AAUGAACGCUGGCGGCAGGCUUAACACAUGCAAGUCGAACGAGAAGCCAUCUUCGGAUGGUGGAAAGUGGCGAACGGGUGAGUAACACGUGGGAAUGUACCUUUUAGUCUGGGACAACAGUUGGAAACGACUGCUAAUACCGGAUGCGCUCUACGGAGGAAAGAUUUAUCGCUAAAAGAUCAGCCCGCGUUAGAUUAGUUUGUUGGUGAGGUAAUGGCUCACCAAGGCUACGAUCUAUAGCUGGUCUGAGAGGACGAUCAGCCACACUGGGACUGAGAUACGGCCCAG